GGGGGCCCGAAGGGGUGGACCAUUUGUUUUAAUUUGAACCAACAAGAUGAACUUUGCCAUUUCUUGACUUUUUCUGACAUCCCAGGAGAUAGGGCUUCCCCUUCGGGGCCAGAGUGCAAGGUGGUGCAUGGUAUCGUCAGCUCGUGUCGUGAGAUGUGGGGUUAAGUCCCGCAACGAGAGCAACCCUUGAUCUUAGUAUCCAGCAUUCAGUUGGGCACUCUAAGGUGACUGCCGGUGACAAACCGGAGGAAGGUGGGAAUGACGUCAAAUCAUCAUGCCCCUUAUGACAUGGGCUACACACGUGCUACAAUGGGCAGAACAAAGGGCAGCGAAGCCGCGAGGUUAAGCCAAUCCCACAAAUCUGUUCUCAGUUCGGAUUGCAGUCUGCAACUCGACUGCGUGAAGCUGGAAUCGCUAGUAAUCGCGGAUCAGCAUGCCGCGGUGAAUACGUUCCCGGGCCUUGUACACACCGCCCGUCACACCACGAGAGUUUGUAACACCCGAAGUCGGUGAGGUAACCUUUGGAGCCAGCCGCCGAAGGUGACAGA
Molecule: ribosomal RNA, 548 nt
Filed under: Bacillus licheniformis
Lineage: Bacteria; Bacillati; Bacillota; Bacilli; Caryophanales; Bacillaceae
Description: bacterial SSU rRNA
Rfam family: Bacterial small subunit ribosomal RNA
Source: RNAcentral